GCCACUUUUGAAUUGAAUUGUGUUGCGUUAGUCUCCUUCGAAACAAAAGAAAGCGUCGCCCGUUGUGCACCAAUGAUGAAAUAGUGUGCAGUUGGCGGAGGCGCCGCCACCACAAAAC
This is a small nucleolar RNA of Caenorhabditis elegans, 118 nucleotides long. Lineage: Eukaryota; Metazoa; Nematoda; Chromadorea; Rhabditida; Rhabditidae. The record is from Ensembl.